UUAUUUUUUUUUAUGCUUGUGUAAUGUGUAGUACCUACAUAAAAACAUCAUUGCCUAGUGCCUACAAUUAAUACGCACGGAAAAUCAGUAUGAAUACAGGUAUCCUUAUUGGACCAAUACAUACGAUAUAUCCAUUUAAGUGGGUACACGAAUACAUGGUCCGAAAAUCGAAAUUCGCUUACCGUCCGCCGAAUCGAUCGCUAUAUGCACCAUUGACAUAUUAUGUCAAUGAUAUGCACUGAGUGAUCGACGAUCGAAGAAAUGGCUAGAUGACUUGCAAAAUCGUGUUGGUGAGUCUCGGUGAUUUUGCGGGUUCGGUGACCAGCCGAUACCGUUCAAUGCCAUACAUCGCAGUGGAAACGACUACUGCGGGUGACGCGUUUCCGUCUGACGCCUCGAUAUACAGGAACCUGAUCACCGGCCGCCUGCCGAUGAUUGGAUGCAAACCUCGGUUUCGCGGUCGUCGCAACCAAAGCCAAGAUCGAGACGACCGCCGCCCGUAUUGUUGAAGCUGCAGGUUUYGGUCGGUCGAGCUUCUCAAGCCACGAUCUCGCGGAUCCGCCGAGACGCCGUUCUAGCUAUAUAGGUGUCGAGCAUCGCAAUGUUUUGGUCGACAUGAAAGAGUACGUUUCGACRCGAGUAGGUGAAUUUAUAUAACCUCUGCAGGUGCAGGCAGCAGAGCACGCGAGUUUGUCUGUAAUYUGUUGGCGUGACGCGGGACUGCGGGAGAGACCCACCCGAACCAUCGGGAUUAAGCCCAAACGCUGCUUAUAAUGUGGAAACGAACCAAGCGAUUCGUACGACUCUUAUUUUGUUGCGUCUGCAGUGUUUAUAGAAUAAAAGGCCUGUAAUAUACAUUGAAUUUUUCAUUUCGUGCAACGUUUUAAAUUUUUUUUUUGUUGAUGUUCCGCGUCUGUAACCUGCAAAGGCUCGGUCAUGUAAGCGACUUAUGCAAUAAUGGUAUAUAUCGAUAACUUUACCAAUAAGUCACAUCCUGCUUAUUGCAGUGAUGGAAAUCUCAAUUUUCAGCAUGUCAUUWAUAUAAGUCUUUUAUUGCGUACGACUUUACUCGUAUGUAGAGACGAUUUAUUAAACUAUCGCCGGAUCGUAUAAUAUAAUAAUAAAUUAUCUCAGUGGUUUCCAAACUAUUUUAUUCGAGAGCCACAUAAAAUACCAAGAGCUCUCAGCGGCU
Diuraphis noxia (Russian wheat aphid) is the source of this 1192-nucleotide long non-coding RNA. Lineage: Eukaryota; Metazoa; Arthropoda; Insecta; Hemiptera; Aphididae. The record is from RefSeq and is a predicted model, not a curated record.